CCAAUAGCGUAUAUUAAAGUUGCUGCAGUUAAAAAGCUCGUAGUUGAAUUUCGGGACUAAUAUGUCGGUCGUGCCUCGGUACGUACUGGUAUUUAUGGUUUCUCCCUUCUGACGAACCUUGAUGUCAUUAAUUUGGUGUCUUGGGGAAUCAGGACUGUUACUUUGAAAAAAUUAGAGUGUUUAAAGCAGGCUCACGCUUGAAUACAUUAGCAUGAAAUAAUGAAAUAGGACGUUUGAUUCUAUUUUGUUGGUUUCUAGGAUUGACGUAAUGAUUAAUAGGGAUAGUUGGGGGCAUUAGUAUUCAAUUGUCAGAGGUGAAAUUCUUGGAUUUAUUGAAGACUAACUACUGCGAAAGCAUUUGCCAAGGAUGUUUUCAUUAAUCAAGAACGAAAGUUAGGGGAUCGAAGACGAUCAGAUACUGUCGUAGUCUUAACCAUAAACUAUGCCGACUAGGGAUCGGAUGAUGUUAAUUUUUUAAUGACUCAUUCGGCGCCUUACG
This 499-nucleotide ribosomal RNA is filed under the name uncultured Glomeromycotina. Its description in RNAcentral is "partial small subunit ribosomal RNA". It matches the Rfam family "Eukaryotic small subunit ribosomal RNA", at positions 591 to 1092 of the family's 1831-position model. Lineage: Eukaryota; Fungi; Glomeromycota. The record is from RNAcentral.